GACGAACGCUGGCGGCGUGCCUAAUACAUGCAAGUCGAGCGGACCGAAGGGAGCUUGCUCCUUUAGGUUAGCGGCGGACGGGUGAGUAACACGUGGGCAACCUGCCCUGCAGACUGGGAUAACUUCGGGAAACCGGAGCUAAUACCGGAUAACACCGAAAACCGCAUGGUUUUUGGUUGAAAGGCGGCUUUUAGCUGUCACUGCAGGAUGGGCCCGCGGCGCAUUAGCUAGUUGGUGAGGUAACGGCUCACCAAGGCGACGAUGCGUAGCCGACCUGAGAGGGUGACCGGCCACACUGGGACUGAGACACGGCCCAGACUCCUACGGGAGGCAGCAGUAGGGAAUCUUCCGCAAUGGACGAAAGUCUGACGGAGCAACGCCGCGUGAGCGAAGAAGGGUCUUCGGAUCGUAAAGCUCUGUUGUCAGGGAAGAACAAGUACCGUUCGAACAGGGCGGUACCUUGACGGUACCUGACGAGGAAGCCACGGCUAACUACGUGCCAGCCGCCGCGGUAA
This 515-nucleotide ribosomal RNA is filed under the name uncultured bacterium. RNAcentral's name for it is "bacterial SSU rRNA". It matches the Rfam family "Bacterial small subunit ribosomal RNA", at positions 28 to 523 of the family's 1533-position model. The record is from RNAcentral.